GGAGGUACAGCUCAGUGGUAGAGUGUGUGCUUAGCAUGCACAAGGUCCUGGGUUCAGUCCUCAGUACCUCCA
This 72-nucleotide transfer RNA is filed under the name Camelus bactrianus (Bactrian camel). It matches the Rfam family "tRNA". From Rfam's summary of the family: Transfer RNA (tRNA) molecules are approximately 80 nucleotides in length. Their secondary structure includes four short double-helical elements and three loops (D, anti-codon, and T loops). The record is from Rfam by way of RNAcentral. RNAcentral also lists the same sequence under 1 other name. Lineage: Eukaryota; Metazoa; Chordata; Mammalia; Artiodactyla; Camelidae.